GGGCUAUUAGCGCAGGCAGGUAGCGCAGCAGGCUUUUAACCUGAAGGUCCUUCGAAUUAUGGGGGAUCGGGUACAGGUCGUGGGUUCAAAUCCCACAUAGCCCGCCA
This 107-nucleotide transfer RNA is filed under the name Promethearchaeota archaeon. RNAcentral's name for it is "Candidatus Lokiarchaeota archaeon tRNA-Lys". It matches the Rfam family "tRNA". Rfam says of the family: Transfer RNA (tRNA) molecules are approximately 80 nucleotides in length. Their secondary structure includes four short double-helical elements and three loops (D, anti-codon, and T loops). Further hydrogen bonds mediate the characteristic L-shaped molecular structure. tRNAs have two regions of fundamental functional importance: the anti-codon, which is responsible for specific mRNA codon recognition, and the 3' end, to which the tRNAs corresponding amino acid is attached (by aminoacyl-tRNA synthetases). tRNAs cope with the degeneracy of the genetic code in two manners: having more than one tRNA (with a specific anti-codon) for a particular amino acid; and 'wobble' base-pairing, i.e. permitting non-standard base-pairing at the 3rd anti-codon position. The record is from RNAcentral. Lineage: Archaea; Promethearchaeati; Promethearchaeota.